GACGAACGCUGGCGGCGUGCUUAACACAUGCAAGUCGAACGGAAAGGCCCUGCUUUUGUGGGGUGCUCGAGUGGCGAACGGGUGAGUAACACGUGAGUAACCUGCCCUUGACUUUGGGAUAACUUCAGGAAACUGGGGCUAAUACCGGAUAGGAGCUCCUGCUGCAUGGUGGGGGUUGGAAAGUUUCGGCGGUUGGGGAUGGACUCGCGGCUUAUCAGCUUGUUGGUGGGGUAGUGGCUUACCAAGGCUUUGACGGGUAGCCGGCCUGAGAUGGUGACCGGCCACAUUGGGACUGAGAUACGGCCCAGACUCCUACGGGAGGCAGCAGUGGGGAAUAUUGCACAAUGGGCGGAAGCCUGAUGCAGCAACGCCGCGUGCGGGAUGACGGUCUUCGGGUUGUAAACCGCUUUCGCCUGUGACGAAGCGUGAGUGACGGUAAUGGGUAAAGAAGCACCGGCUAACUACGUG
RNAcentral lists this ribosomal RNA (468 nucleotides) under uncultured bacterium. RNAcentral's name for it is "partial 16S ribosomal RNA". It matches the Rfam family "Bacterial small subunit ribosomal RNA", at positions 28 to 507 of the family's 1533-position model. The record is from RNAcentral.